This 497-nucleotide ribosomal RNA is filed under the name uncultured bacterium. RNAcentral's name for it is "partial 16S ribosomal RNA". It matches the Rfam family "Bacterial small subunit ribosomal RNA", at positions 28 to 507 of the family's 1533-position model. The record is from RNAcentral.
GAUGAACGCUGGCGGCGUGCCUAAUACAUGCAAGUCGAGCGAACGGACGAGAAGCUUGCUGCUCUGAUGUUAGCGGCGGACGUGUGAGUAACACGUGUAUAACCUACCUAUAAUACUGGUAUAACUUCGGGAAACCGGAGCUAAUACCGUAUAAUAUUUUGAACCGCAUUGUUCAAAAGUAAAUUACGGUCUUUCUGUCACUUAUAGAUGGAUCUCGGCUGCAUUAGCUAGUUGUGAAGGUAACGGCUUACCAAGGCAACGAUGCAUAGACGACCUGAGAGGGGGGUAGGCCACCUGGGAAGGGGGACAGGGUCAAGACGACUACGGGACGGAGCAGAAGGGAAUCUUACGCAAUGGGCGAAAGCCUGACGGAGCAAGGGCGAGUGAGUGAUGAAGGUCUUCGGAGCGUAAAACUCUGUUAUUAGGGAAGAACAUAUGUGUAAGUAAAUGUGCACAUCUUGACGGUAACUAAUAAGAAAGCAACGGCUAACUACGUG